GCUCUUCCGUUUUUUUUUCUUCCUUAACUUUAGGAGCACCGUAGACGUUGGACUUUGUGACAGUUAAUCAACAAUUGUUCAUUACCACAACAGAAUUCCUAGCUGCCCAUUAACUCAAGACCUUUUAUAAUGCUGUAAUGUAAUUUCUUUGCAGGCAUUUGGCCAUCCAAAAGAUGGAGUAUGCCUAAAAUACACUCUUGUUACGCCGACUAUUGCACGGUAGAUGGCAGCAGUACAGCAGCGCAAUGCUCGUCGACUGUAACUCAAAAAGAAGAACCUGCAGCUCAACCAUGUUUUAAUCGAGAACAAUUGCAUUUGGCGCACUGCAUGGCUUUCCUAUAAAGAAACCUUCUGAUUGUAUGUUGGGUUGUCCCCCUAGUUAAGAGCACAAUCAGCCCAGAUUCAACGUUAGGGUUUGCACACUGAGGACCAUGAUGGAGAGAAAACGAGCCUUAACCAUUCCAUUUGCUCUUGAGAAGGACAAAUUAGUUUCCUGGACUGCAAUUGCCGGCCAUAAAUCCAGACGACGUGAUUCACGACACAAGAAUGGAGCAGUGCUGUUUGACCAUAACCAUGCUGCUAUGGUUAGGUUGGGCUUGGCAGUGAGGAAGCCCCGUCUGAUUCUGACAGAUGUCCUCAAGACUGACGCGGGCAAGGUUUACAUGGAGAAGAUAAAACGGCGCCCAAAUGGGAAGGAGAGGAGAAGUCGUGGCAAAGAUCCACCCAUAGUCGCCAGGGACAGGCGGUCCAGUCAAACAAAAAACACAAACUUACUACCGAGUGUACCACCUAGGAUCAAGCAGACUCCCAAAUUAUCACGAUCAAGUCCAAGAUCUUCAAAAAAGGCACAAAUUGAGAAGGAGGAGGAUGGACAAGGAGAUAAUGACGUGGUAUCUGGUGAAAAUGGGAACGUUGAACUUGUGGAUUGUGGAUUGUCUCUGAGUUGGGAACAAGAAGAUCUAAAUUUAUCUAAAUGUAAGGCCAAAGAAACAUCGAAAGAACCAAAAAAGACAAUACAGCAGAAAAGGAAAACAAAUGACUCAUUUUCAGAAUGUCCUGAAACAGACAGCCCCAAACGCCCCAGGGCGAGUGUUUUGCGCCUCUCUGGAGUUGCGAAUAUGGAUGGAGAACCCACCCUUUUUCCAGAGAAAGAAGCAGAUGACAAGGAUUCGAAAAACACAGAUAGUCCUAUUGUGCAGUUUACUGUGGGAGGAGCAAAUGCAGAAACCACAAUGCCCGUGCCAGAGGAUAAUGGUGCAACCACUGACACAGCUGAACCUAUUGUUCUUUCCAGUGAUGAAGAAGACGGUGGGGAAAAAAUUGAGAAUCUGAAACCUAUCUCACAG
This 1346-nucleotide long non-coding RNA is filed under the name Neogobius melanostomus (round goby). RNAcentral's name for it is "lncRNA (ENSNMLG00000001825.1)". Lineage: Eukaryota; Metazoa; Chordata; Actinopteri; Gobiiformes; Gobiidae. The record is from RNAcentral.